GGCGUCACAUCCUGGCAACGGUACUACCCUGGGUUCCGGGCAGGGGUGGAACUGGAUUCUGCCUGGAUGGGGAUCGGAUGGGGGUGGAGGUUUGAUUUGGGAAGCAGAGCACAGCAGCCCAAAUUUGUUGUAAUGGCGGCGGCUACAGAAUUGAUUUUGGGAACAGAACACAGCAGCCUGAACUUGAUUGUUAUUUUGGCAGCUACAGGCAGAACAAGAAGGCCAAACAGAAGCCUCCACCAAUUGUCCUCCCUGCAGGAAGAUCAAAUUGAACAACUAUCCACACAAAGAAGCACUUUAAUGAGAAUGAAAAAUCAGGUGAAUGAUCAUAGUACCUGGUUCUAACUUCAUACCACUGAAAGGGGCACUGAAGAUGGUAGGAGAGACAGUCUUGAAUUGCUAACACCAUCCCUGCCCCAUCUCCCAGUAGUUGCUGUGUGGCACGGAAAGAGAAUCUGUGUGUUUAAGGGAGAGAGAGGGCAGUGAUUGUGGGACUUUGCGUUGGAACUCACUACUGCCCUGUUACAGCAGAAAGCAACACCAGGCAUAACUCAGCCGGUACCCACAGAGGGAGCAUUUAGACCAGCCCUAACCAGUGGUCAGAACCUGAGUUCCACAAGCCUCACCACUGUGGACUAAAGUGGUCCGUGGUGCUAAAUGAAAGGCAGUCUAGGCCACAAGGAUUACAAUUCUUGGGCAAGUCCUGGUGCUGGGCUAAGCUCAGAGCCAGUGGACUUAGGGGGCAUGCACCCUAGUGAGAUACCAACUGGGGUGGCCAAGCGGGUGCUCGUACCACCCCUCCCUCAACUGCAGGUAGUACAGCUUGCAGCUUGCCUGUAGUCUCAGCUACUCGGGAUGCUGAGGCAGGAGAAUGGCGUCAACCUGGGAGGCGGAGCUUGCAGUGAGCCGAGAUCGUGCGACUGCACUCCAGCCUGAGCAACAGAGCGAGACUCCAUCUCAAAAAAA
Homo sapiens (human) is the source of this 966-nucleotide long non-coding RNA. Ensembl annotates it as MAGEA6 divergent transcript. Its record names the gene MAGEA6-DT. NCBI's taxonomy places the organism in Eukaryota, Metazoa, Chordata, Mammalia, Primates, Hominidae. The record is from Ensembl.